GCUGGGCGUGGUGGCUUAUACUUGUAAUCCAAGCACCUUGGAAGUCUGAGGCAGGUGGAUCACCUGAGGUCAGGAGUUCAGGACCAGCCUGGCCAACAUGGUGAAACCCCAUCUCCACUAAAGAUACAAAAAAACAAAAAAAAAUAACUGGGCAUGGNNNNNNNNNNCCAUGCCCAGUUAUUUUUUUUUGUUUUUUUGUAUCUUUAGUGGAGAUGGGGUUUCACCAUGUUGGCCAGGCUGGUCCUGAACUCCUGACCUCAGGUGAUCCACCUGCCUCAGA
Non-coding RNA from Gorilla gorilla gorilla (western lowland gorilla), 280 nucleotides. Lineage: Eukaryota; Metazoa; Chordata; Mammalia; Primates; Hominidae. The record is from Rfam.